Zonotrichia albicollis (white-throated sparrow) is the source of this 461-nucleotide non-coding RNA. Lineage: Eukaryota; Metazoa; Chordata; Aves; Passeriformes; Passerellidae. The record is from RefSeq and is a predicted model, not a curated record.
CACUUUGAUUGUUAUUGUAUGUACAAGGUUUGCCAAAAGACAUGGGCAGCUCCCUUGUAGCAGCUCACAGUUCCUGUAGCCUGUCUACCUGUUAAUGAGAAACAGUGAGGUGUCUUACUGCACAGCCUCACUGCCUUGUCCUCAUGAUUGCCACCUUCCUCCUGUCAUGGAUUUUGGCCUUCCUGCAGCCUCAAUAUUGGACUGACCUGAAAGUCUGGGAACAGCUGGGUGUAGGCAGGAGCAGGCAGUCCCACCCAGCAGGCACACAGCUCUGGGAGAGGAGGAAUCUGCAUGGCCAUGGGCUUCUACUGCAAAUAAGGCAGUGUCCCCAGACCAGGGAAAUUCAACCACGUCUCAUUGCAAACCCUGAGAAUUCACUACAAAGAAGGAGCCCCUGUUGGCUGGAGACUUGAACUUUGGAGCCUGUGCAAAGCGUGAAGGAACAUAUUUGUUUUCAUACU